AACGAACGCUGGCGGCGUGCUUAACACAUGCAAGUCGAGCGGUAAGGCCCUUUCGGGGGUACACGAGCGGCGAACGGGUGAGUAACACGUGGGUGACCUGCCCUCAGCUCUGGGAUAAGCCCGGGAAACUGGGUCUAAUACUGGAUAUGACUCCACGGUGCAUGUCGUGGGGUGGAAAGCCUUGUGCGGCUGAGGAUGGGCCCGCGGCCUAUCAGCUUGUUGGUGGGGUGAUGGCCACCAAGGCGACGACGGGUAGCCGGCCUGAGAGGGCGACCGGCCACACUGGGACUGAGACACGGCCCAGACUCCUACGGGAGGCAGCAGUGGGGAAUCUUGCGCAAUGGCCGAAAGGCUGACGCAGCGACGCCGCGUGUGGGAGGACGCCUUCGGGUGUAA
RNAcentral lists this ribosomal RNA (396 nucleotides) under uncultured bacterium. RNAcentral's name for it is "bacterial SSU rRNA". It matches the Rfam family "Bacterial small subunit ribosomal RNA", at positions 28 to 428 of the family's 1533-position model. The record is from RNAcentral.